UAGAGGCAUUAACCGGGGUUCUCUUUUGUAGGUUUCAGACUCAUGUGAUCCAAUCAUCUUCUCCAUUUGGCCUUAAUCAUCAUAUAGGUUGAUAUGUUUUUUUGUCCCUAAAUAACAUUGUUGCCUAUGUCAUACUUGAGUACCUAUUCUGUUAUUUUGUAUUUGCCUAUUAAGCACCGAUCUGAUGGCCCGCCUUGCCUACCAUACCUAUCCCGCUAUUUUAAGGGCAUGGGUAGAGGUGCAAAUUGGGACAGGCUCGGUGAGGCCAACCCA
Molecule: long non-coding RNA, 273 nt
Filed under: Actinidia chinensis (golden kiwifruit)
Lineage: Eukaryota; Viridiplantae; Streptophyta; Magnoliopsida; Ericales; Actinidiaceae
Description: long non-coding RNA (ACHI_LNC000060)
Source: RNAcentral